RNAcentral lists this transfer RNA (77 nucleotides) under Actinomycetes bacterium. RNAcentral describes it as "tRNA-Lys". It matches the Rfam family "tRNA". From Rfam's summary of the family: Transfer RNA (tRNA) molecules are approximately 80 nucleotides in length. Their secondary structure includes four short double-helical elements and three loops (D, anti-codon, and T loops). RNAcentral also lists the same sequence under 1 other name. The record is from RNAcentral. Lineage: Bacteria; Bacillati; Actinomycetota; Actinomycetes.
GGGUCGCUAGCUCAAUUUGGCAGAGCAACGGACUCUUAAUCCGUAGGUUCUGGGUUCAAGUCCCAGGCGACCCACCA